This 301-nucleotide ribosomal RNA is filed under the name uncultured bacterium. RNAcentral describes it as "partial 16S ribosomal RNA". It matches the Rfam family "Bacterial small subunit ribosomal RNA", at positions 509 to 809 of the family's 1533-position model. The record is from RNAcentral.
CAGCCGCCGCGGGAAUACGAAGGUCCCGAGCGUUGUUCGGAAUCACUGGGCGUAAAGCGCACGCAGGCGGUUUGUUAAGUCAGAUGUGAAAUCCCCGAGCUUAACUCGGGAACUGCAUUUGAAACUGGCAAGCUAGAGUCUUGUAGAGGGGGGUAGAAUUCCAGGUGUAGCGGUGAAAUGCGUAGAGAUCGGGAGGAACAUCAGUGGCGAAGGCGGCCAUCUGGGACAACACUGACGCUGAGGCACGAAAGCGUGGGGAGCAAACAGGAUUAGAGACCCCUGUAGUCCCUGUCUCUUAUAA